This 306-nucleotide ribosomal RNA is filed under the name Felis catus (domestic cat). RNAcentral's name for it is "partial 12S ribosomal RNA". It matches the Rfam family "Bacterial small subunit ribosomal RNA", at positions 468 to 892 of the family's 1533-position model. The record is from RNAcentral. Lineage: Eukaryota; Metazoa; Chordata; Mammalia; Carnivora; Felidae.
UUCGACUAAGCUAUAUUAAACAAGGGUUGGUAAAUUUCGUGCCAGCCACCGCGGCCAUACGAUUAACCCAAACUAAUAGACCCACGGCGUAAAGCGUGUUACAGAGAAAAAAAUAUACUAAAGUUAAAUUUUAACUAGGCCGUAGAAAGCUACAGUUAACAUAAAAAUACAGCACGAAAGUAACUUUAACACCUCCGACUACACGACAGCUAAGACCCAAACUGGGAUUAGAUACCCCACUAUGCUUAGCCCUAAACUUAGAUAGUUAUCCUAAACAAAACUAUCCGCCAGAGAACUACUAGCAAU